RNAcentral lists this ribosomal RNA (471 nucleotides) under uncultured bacterium. RNAcentral's name for it is "SSU rRNA". It matches the Rfam family "Bacterial small subunit ribosomal RNA", at positions 26 to 518 of the family's 1533-position model. The record is from RNAcentral.
AGAACGAACGCUGGCGGCAUGCCUAACACAUGCAAGUCGAACGCUCUUGGGGCUUCGGUCUCAGGGGAGUGGCGCACGGGUGAGUAGCGCGUGGGAACCUGCCCUGUUGUGGGGGAUAACCGAGGGAAACUUCGGCUAAUACCGCAUAAGCCGGUUGUCUUGAAGGAGAUGGCCGGGAAAGAUUUAUCGCGACAGGAGGGGCCCGCGUCGGAUUAGCUAGUUGGUGGGGUAACGCCCACCAAGGCGGUGAUCCGUAGCUGGUCUGAGAGGAUGAUCAGCCACACUGGGACUGAGACACGGCCCAGACUCCUACGGGAGGCAGCAGUGGGGAAUAUUGGACAAUGGGCGCAAGCCUGAUCCAGCAAUGCCGCGUGAGUGAUGAAGGCCUUAGGGUUGUAAAGCUCUUUCGCCCGCGACGAUGAUGACGGUAGCGGGAGAAGAAGCCCCGGCUAACUUCGUGCCAGCAGCCGC